RNAcentral lists this unclassified non-coding RNA (315 nucleotides) under uncultured Thelephoraceae. RNAcentral's name for it is "sequence contains 5.8S rRNA gene". The stretch from base 1 to 53 matches the Rfam family "5.8S ribosomal RNA", at positions 102 to 154 of the family's 154-position model. Lineage: Eukaryota; Fungi; Basidiomycota; Agaricomycetes; Thelephorales; Thelephoraceae. The record is from RNAcentral.
GAACGCAUCUUGCGCUCCUUGGUAUUCCGAGGAGCAUGCCUGUUUGAGUGUCGUCAAUAUCUCAACUCUCAUGGCUUGCCAUGAUGAGCUUGGACUUUGGGGGUCUUGUCGGCCUGCGGUCGGCUCCUCUCAAAUGGAUCAGCUUGCCAGUGUUUGGUGGCGUCACAGGUGUGAUAACUAUCUGCGCUUGUGGUUUCCCAUCAGAUAACCUUCAGCGAUGGAGGUUCGCUGGGGCUCAUAAAUGUCUCUCCUAAGUGAGGACAGCCCUUUGAACGUUUGAUCUCAAAUCAGGUAGGACUACCCGCUGAACUUAAG